RNAcentral lists this ribosomal RNA (718 nucleotides) under Absidia caerulea. RNAcentral describes it as "eukaryotic LSU rRNA". It matches the Rfam family "Eukaryotic large subunit ribosomal RNA", at positions 48 to 668 of the family's 3401-position model. The record is from RNAcentral. Lineage: Eukaryota; Fungi; Mucoromycota; Mucoromycetes; Mucorales; Cunninghamellaceae.
UAGCGGAGGAAAGAAAUACAAUGAUUCCCCUAGUAACGGCGAGUGAACAGGGAAAAGCUCAAAGUUGGAACCUCCUGGUCCUAGAUUAGGCGGAUUGUAAACUAAAGCUCUUGGGUAGUACGGUUGGCCUGAUAAAAAAGUUCUCUGGAAAGAGGCGACAUAGAGGGUGAUAUCCCCGUCUUUGGUCAGAGCUCAAUCAUGCGUUUGCCCUUUAGCGAAGAGUCAGGUUGUUUGGGAAUGCAGCCUAAAAUGGGAGGUAAAUCUCUCCUAAAGCUAAAUAUUGACGAAAGACCGAUAGCGAACAAGUACCGUGAGGGAAAGAUGAAAAGCACUUUGAAAAGAGGGUCAAAAAGUACGUGAAAUUGCUGAAAGGGAACCGUAUGAAAUCAGUCUGAUGUGUUGGUAAUCAAUCUGGAUCUCGAUCCGGAUGCACUUGCCGAUGUAUUAGCCUGCGACAGUUUGAUCUGGAGGAAAAAAGAUGGGAGAAUGUGGCCUUGGCUUCUGUUAAGGUGUUAUAGCUCCUGUCAAAAUACUUUGGAUUGGACUGAGGACUGCAGCGAGCCGCAAGGUAAAGGUCUCGGGCGCUUGCUCUGGCUAUGUAAGAAAUCUCUGCUUCGGGUGGUAUCUUGCCUAAUCGGGACAACACGCUUGUUUCUCUUUUUUCUCGCUUAGGUCGUAGGCAUAAUGAUUUUAUAUGACCCGUCUUGAACACGGACCA